RNAcentral lists this small RNA (949 nucleotides) under Rattus norvegicus (Norway rat). RNAcentral's name for it is "uncharacterized LOC103693113". The record is from RNAcentral. Lineage: Eukaryota; Metazoa; Chordata; Mammalia; Rodentia; Muridae.
CCUUCUUCCAGGAUAUAUCUAGGUUUAUGUCAAGUUGACAAAAGCCCAACCAGCACACUGGGUGAAAUCACCAACCUUCUGGAGCUUUUGCCCCGAGCUCAAGCACCUUCCUCUCAGAAAAGAGACUUCUUUUGGAGAUGAAAGAUAACUCAGUCAAGUUGGAGAGGAGGGGCAGGUGGAGCCCUGGAGUGCAUUGGCCAGCUAAUCUAGCUGAAAACCCUGUACUCGCCAGCCACAGGCAGACCAGAGCCUCUGGUUCGGAACGACAAGAGUCCCUAUUGACCUGGAGACUACCCACUGGGCUAAGCAAGGCUGGUCAGCAAGUGCCAGGAGUCUCCUUCUCUCCACAUCAGAGCCGGGAUUGCAGCCUGGCUCCCCACUGGAAAGGAAGUCCCCAGAAGAGACAGUGUCCCAUUUGUCUACUUCCCAGGGCCACAAGCGAGUGUGCAGCAAACAUGUGGACGACAUUGAUCUGGGAACUGUGGUCUGGGCCUGAGUCCCAGGACGCACUCAACACCUGCUGUCGUACCUUUUCUUUACAUGGGACCGUCUGCUUCACCCACUCUGAAAAGAGAACGAACCUUCUAAGGAUCUUUGUAGUGUGUGUAUGUGUGUGUGUGUGUGUGUGUGUGUGUGUGCCCGAGUGUAAAAAAGAUAAACCUGGAGCUGAUGCUAUAGAUGUUGUUAGAGUACUAAACCUUGAGUUCCAACCCCUGUACCAUGUAAACUAGGCACAGGAGUACAUGCCUGUAAUUUCAACGUCAUGGGGUUUUCGGGUAAGGGAGUAUGGAAAUAGGAGAGUCAGGUGAGCAUGUUGCGGGGGAGGGUAUGUCUGUACAGGUGCUUUUGCAUAUGUUUAUGCACAUGUGUAGAGGCCAGAGGUUAACAUCAAGUCUUUCUUGAUCACUCUCUCCCUUGUUUUAUAAACACAUUUUCAAAUAUUUUAUGU